UACGGGGGGGGCAAGCGUUGUUCGGAAUUACUGGGCGUAAAGGGCUUGUAGGUGGCCAACUAAGUCAGACGUGAAAUCCCCAGGCUUAACCUGGGAACUGCAUUCGAUACUGGACGGCUAGAGUAUGAGAGAGGGUGGUAGAAUUCCACGUGUAGCGGUGAAAUGCGUAGAUAUGUGGAGGAAUACCGGUGGCGAAGGCGGCCUCCUGGUUCAAUACUGACGCUGAGGUGCGAAAGCGUGGGGAGCAAACAGG
This 253-nucleotide ribosomal RNA is filed under the name uncultured bacterium. RNAcentral describes it as "partial 16S ribosomal RNA". It matches the Rfam family "Bacterial small subunit ribosomal RNA", at positions 524 to 776 of the family's 1533-position model. The record is from RNAcentral.